This 5903-nucleotide long non-coding RNA is filed under the name Fragaria vesca (wild strawberry). RNAcentral describes it as "long non-coding RNA (FVES_LNC003782)". Lineage: Eukaryota; Viridiplantae; Streptophyta; Magnoliopsida; Rosales; Rosaceae. The record is from RNAcentral.
UUCCUCUCAUGUUAUAGGUAGGAGGGCAAGUUUCUUUGGUGAAAUCGACUUCAUCAAAUGGAACGAUGUAAUGAGUUUGAAUUUGUUUGACAACAUUUGAGCAGUUUUUCGCCUAUGUAACAUGAAUUUGGUUUCUGUUACGGUUUUAUCGGAAUGGGUCGAUCUAAAACUGAUACUCUGAUUGCUUCUUUGGUUUUGUGGUGCUGAAAUUGGUUUGUGAUUAGGGUUCAGAUCGUGAAUAGCAUAGCUGGGCAUAGCUGGGUUGGUUAUUGAUCUGAGGAUUAUUUUUUGUUUGCUUUUCAGGUUGUGUUGUUGCUUUACGACCUGGGUUGUAAUUUCUCACUUUUUCCUAUUGGUAGGGUGCUGCAAUUUGAUGGGUUUAGUUGCGUUUGGCCAUUUUCAAUAUAUUGCUUCUCAAUUUGAAUAUUGAUGGCAAGGUAAACCACUAUAAACCUUAUGUCUCAUUAUCUCUAAACCAUUAACAACAUCCGUAGAUACAAGGAAUUAACUCGCAUAAUCCACUCCAUCAACAUUGGCGCAGUCUGUGGGAAGCUGAUUAACAAGGCUUCGUCACACUUAUCAUGAGCUAACGGAACAAUUAACUUGUUCAUUUGGUGGGCCAGUGAUGCCAAACACCAAGCAUGACCCGCUCGUCUCUUCUGCUAGAACCAAUUAAAAGAAGACAAAAAAAUGGGAGUGGAAAAUUUUCGUGAGCCGCGGACCAGCAUCAACUCUCGAUCAUCUCUACACAAGCGGUAUGGUCUAGCGGUUCAAAAAUAAAAAAUAAAAAAAAGUAAAGAGUGGUUCAGCAAAACAAAAACAAAAAAAAUAUCAUGAAGAACCGGUCAGAAACAAAGUCCAUGAAGUUGUGCUAUGGACACCCAGAUACAAGGAACCCACUAGGGCACCCCAGCGCCUCACCUGCCAGCGUGUAGCAUAAGGGCCACAGCGCACCGUAGUGUCCCAGCGUGUGCGGCCCUAGCGCACUCCGCUCCCUCCAACUCGAGCGCUCACGCUCACCGCUCCCAACCGUUCAAGUUCCACUACUCGAGUUCGACUGUUCUAGUUGCCGCUUCAGUGCAUCCCGCUCAAACCCUAACGGACACCGCCCAGCGAGCGGAUCAUUCUCUAGCGGUUCAUCAUCUUUAGCCGCCAAGGAGAAGAACCGCUCAUCCCAUAUUGCAAUGGCUCAACCUCAAGCCUCCUCCGCUCCCUGACAAGCGCUUGACCUGGACAUCCGCCCACCAAGUAAGGAAACGCUAGAAAGAAAAAGAAGAAGAUGCAAGUUUUUGUUCUCCGCUCAUAGCAUACUGCUCGGAGAUCAUCGCUCCUCAAGUUGCAGCGCUCAUCCCUGGGUUGUAGCCGCUCAACCUCGAGCACACCGCUCGCACACAACCGCUCCACAUCUCACAACCGCUCACUCUUGAUCCGCUACUUGCUAGUGAUCCGCCACUCGUUAGUGAUCUGCCAUCACUCUUAAUCUGCCAUAGAUAAGUUUUUGAAACUUGAUUGAAAGUUCAAAGCACUCUUAACAUUCCUAUGUGUGAUUGUUGGAAGCAUGAACAAACAUCAAUAAUUUAAGCAUUCUCAUGCAUUGCAAUGGCGGGCGGACAAGUUAUACUUAGCCCAGUCAAGCGAGCAACAUUGAACUUGGCGCUUAGCAGCGAGAUACCCGCUCGGUCUCAAACCGCUAAAGGUUGAGCGCUCGGCAUCAACCGCUUAGCACUCUUCAUUCAGCACUUUCUUCGCUAGCUAAGCCGUCCACAACAACAACCAUCGACACAGAACAAGCCGCUAGCUAGGAUGCCGCCAACAACAAGCAACCGCCCAGUGAGCGCGCCUUCGCACCCCAGCGCUUAGCUCUCACCCGCUUGGCUUCAACAGCUUGUGUUCCGCCUCUCAACAACCCGCUCUGCCUCGAGCGGCACCACUGACCACUCAACCCGCUCAACUUUAAGCUAAUCCUCCAAGGUUCUCCACCUCGAGCACACUGCUCAACCGCUCAGUAUGGAGCACACCGCUCGACCUCCACCAUGAACUGAACUGCUAAAGCACAACGCUCAGUAUAAGCUACUAAUCUCUUCCUUAUUUUGUUUGGAGAGAAUUGAAUCACUCCAAAGUCAAACCGGGCCUCAUGUACAAAGUCAUGACGAGCUAUUGGCGGGGUCCCCCAAUGGCUUAGAGCGUCACGCUUUAACAACUAAUGUGACUUGGGGACUAAGCAAUUUCACUCCAAUCAACUUCAAGUCGGCAUGAGAUAAGUAACGGUUAAUCAUCUUAUACACGCUCUUGCAAAGAGCUAAUGCCAUGCCAUUACAUGUUUUUUACUACCUUUAAGCAUGCCUAGUUACAACAUUGUGUACACACACUUGCCAUGCUUUAAAUUGUCAAUCUAAACGGCCACUUAGCAUGUUCACCAAAUUUAGGACGCUAUUAGCUAGUAGUGUUACUACAAAGUACUUGCUAUAAUUACACAUGUUUCUAAUCAAUUAAGUAAACAUGAGUAGUAUGUAAGCAAACCAUAUCAUGUUUAGAGAAGUUGUGACUUUAAGACUUUCAACUAAACUAUGAUGGAGUUAGAAUUAGUUAGUGGUUUCGAGCAUGGCUACUACUUGAUCGGGUCCGUCCCACAAGCAAUACAACGCCUACCCGCUCACAACACCCAACUUGCAAAACAACUUCAUAUUUUAGUUAAGCAUUGAUCAUUGCCUCACCAUGCUUCAUGUAAUUUAAUGGAAAAUACUUCCAUUUAUUUCAAUUGUUGUUUGUACAAGUAGUAAAAGAUGCAUGCGUCGACUUUACCUAUGGCGUUUGCUAAAUUUUAUUAGUCUUACUAUGUUGAAACAAAUAAAUAUCCAAUCAAUCCCUAAAUUAGCUAGCGGAACUCGGGGACUUGUACACAUUUGCAUACAUAAUAAGAAUGUGUAAGCGUGGAUCCGCUCCACCAACAUUCAAAGCCCGGGGACUUCCCGGCACACAAGUUUUUGCAUGCAAUCAAUUAAUAAAAUCACAUUUUAGAACAAACCAUAUUUUUGUGAUACUAACAAGCUACAAAUGAAACGGGAUUAUCCCAACUAUUAUCCUUGGGCAACCGCUUGUUUACCAAGCAUCAAACGCCAAGAAUAAAUAUAAUCCCCUAACGAUUUCAUUUAGCACAAAAAUAUGGUGAUUUUUUUCAGGUCACGCAACAAGGAGUCCGCUCAAGUCCACCCUUACAAAACAAGCGGAUCUUGGAAGAUAUGAUGAAUCACAUGAAGAAACCUCGUGCAAAUGGGAUGCCUCACCGCUUGUGAGAGACUAAGCGAGGAUUAUCCGUUACUAUUUAACCUCACUGCGAUGAUUAUCCGCUAUUAGGAUGCCUCACCGCUUGUGAGAGACUAAGCGAGGAUUAUCCGUUACUACUUAACCUCACUGCGAUGAUUAUUCGCUUGUGGGAUGCCUCACUGCUUGUGAGAGACUAAGCGAUGAUUAUCCGCUACUACUUAACCUCACUGCGAUGAUUAUCCGCUUGUGAGAAGUCUUGCUAAGUGAGAAUCUAGCGUGUUAUAAACGCUAAGAUUUGUCUCUUUCGAUGAGAGACACUCAUUGAAUGAGAGAACAACAUAUGAGCCCAAACAAAUUUCCUCACCAUUCGUGAGAGACUAGCGAUAAUUAACCACUAGGGAUUUUAAUCCUCGCUAGCAAUUUUUCCUUACAGUUCGUGAGAGACUAGCGAUGAUUAACCGCUAGCAAUUUUUCCUCACAGUUCGUGAGAGAUUAGCGAUGAUUAUCCGCUAUUAAUUAACCUCCCCGCUUGUGGGAUGCCUCACCUUGUGAGAGACAGGUGAAGGUUAACCACCGAAGAAGCAUCACCGCUUGUGAGAGACUAGCGAAGUUUAACCGCUAGGAACUUGUCUCACCAUGUGAGAGAACGACAAAGGUGAGACGUACCGCCAAUUAACUUGCCUCACUAUGUGAGGGGAUAACAAGGCUUGAACCACUAAGAUGCUCCGGCAAGAAGUAGUUUCCACUAGCAAAUUGAAUUGCCAAGAUGUUCUGGCAAGAAGUAGUUUCCGCUAGCAAGUUGAACCACCAAUACUUUAGAAAGCAGUUUGAAGAUACCUUUCUUGAUUGCGGAGCUCGGGGACUAAUAGGGUUGGGCGCUACAUUGGUAUCUGAUACGACCCACUCCGAAUUUCACCCUGAAACCCGGAGUAACUCGUGCGGGGACCACCUCCAAGAAAGAUAUUACCGAAAAAUCGGCAUAACCUCCCUUGAAAAUGGACAACCAUUCCUAACGAAAACCUGCAAACACUUCCAAAAUUUUUUAAUCCAACCUUAACUCCUGGAGCCUACGUGCUCCCCAAAAACAAUUACCUCCAACAACACAACAUUAUCCAACAUCAAAUAUAAUUAUCCAAAAGAUACCAUAAAUCCUCCAACAAAUAUUCUAAGACGUCAACAAGUCUUCACCCACAACCGAAAUAAUAUACAUUAAACCCAAGUAUUCAGAGCUACUAAACACUAGCGGAAAAAGAAACCACAGGUAGGUUAAACAGGUAACCUACUGAUGAGAAGUGGUGGAAAUGCGGGUGACUAUGCCUCGUCUCCUACUAGGUCCGACCCGAACUCUGCAGACUGGGCAUUUUAAAACGAAUGGCCCAGGGGAAACAUUUGAAUACGUUAGAGUGAGUGGACAAAAAUAAAAUAAAGGAAAUAAUGCUUUAUGCUUUCCCAAUUUUACUUUUCCAUAAAAAAAAUAUGCUGCAUGCGACAGCCCAAAACGCUCAACACGAAAACUGGAAUUUCAUGACUGGCUCCGGCCAGUCUCCAACGCUCAAUAAAAUACAGCCUCUCAGGCUAAAAUAAAAUAUGUAUGUAUUACACUCGUCAUAUCCCUUGUAUGAAUUUUCUUGAAACAACUAAAACAAAUAGAAAAUUCACACAAGGCUACAACGCUUGCGUCUAACGCUCACGUUGCACCAUAAUGGCAUUUUACCUCAUUAUGGUGGAAAAGACGGUGUAUAAAUAUACGCGCAUAUCCCCUAUAUAAAUUAUUAUUUUUAUAUAGGGCUACAACGAUUGCGUCUAACGUUCACGUUGCACCAUAAUGAAAUUUUACCUCAGUAUGGUGGAAAAGCACGUAUAGCUAGCUAGCAUUCUCUCAUAUACAUAUUAUUCUCAUAAUCAUCCACAUAUGGAUAUAUAUAUAUAUAUAUAUAUACACUCACCGAAAUUCUCAAUUUCGGUUAUUCUCCAACAGCAUAAAUUAUUUCGCAUGCACAUUAUUUAAAACAAAAGUCCACUCACAAAUUAGGCCUAAGCCUGAUGUCGAUCUGGGGCCUCGUCAGCUCGAGCCUCCUCACGACCUGUUCCAAAUAUAAUAUUAAGUUCCCAGCCGAAAUUCCAAUAUUUACACAAAAUAGGCAGAAAUUAACCGAGAGCCAUUAACACGCUCAUCAUUGCCUAACUUCGAAAUGGUUCACAUUUCAACCCUAGAACCAGCAGCCGUAACUACACCUUCCCACAGAUUAAACAACUUAAUCCAACGGCCGGAUUCUACAUAAAUUAACCGCCAAAAAUACUAACUUCGGAAAUUCAUAAACCUAUCCAAAACUCAUCCAAAAAUUCCAUAACUCACUUCAAUAAACUCCCCUUAAUAUUCCAAAUUUAACAACAUUAAAAUCUCCUAAUCGGCGGCGGCUCCGCCGGCAGCGGCGGCCGGAGGCCAAUUCCGGCGACCUCCAAUUCCUAUGAAAUUUUAACAGCAUCUUCCUCUCAUCAUGCUCUACAACUUUCCUAACUAGCACAAACCCAAAAUCCAAGCCUAGCUAUGCCAAUCGAACAAAAACAUCAAAAACGCCCUAGAGCUUCCACCUCAAAUUUCUCCUUACCUGAAGCAAACCGGAGUGAGUCCUUUUAGG